This 433-nucleotide ribosomal RNA is filed under the name uncultured bacterium. RNAcentral describes it as "partial 16S ribosomal RNA". It matches the Rfam family "Bacterial small subunit ribosomal RNA", at positions 29 to 507 of the family's 1533-position model. The record is from RNAcentral.
AACGAACGCUGGCGGCAUGCCUAACACAUGCAAGUCGAACGAGACCUUCGGGUCUAGUGGCGCACGGGUGCGUAACGCGUGGGAACCUGCCCUUAGGUUCGGAAUAACUCCCCGAAAGGGGUGAUAAUACCGGAUAAUGUCUUCGGACCAAAGAUUUAUUGCCUUUGGAUGGGCCCGCGUUGGAUUAGCUAGUUGGUAGGGUAAAAGCCUAACAAGGCGACGAUCCAUAGCUGGUCUGAGAGGAUGAUCAGUCACACUGGGACUGAGACACGGCCCAGAAUCCUACGGGAGGCAGCAGAGGGGAAUAUUGGACAAUGGGCGAAAGCCUGAUCCAGCAAUGCCGGGUGAGUGAUGAAGGCCUUAGGGUUGUAAAGCUCUUUUACCCGGGAUGAUAAUGACGGUACCGGGAGAAUAAGCUCCGGCUAACUCCGUG